RNA transcript from Heterocephalus glaber (naked mole-rat), 4519 nucleotides. It is a transcript of the gene named TatD DNase domain containing 2, with no coding region annotated. The record is from RefSeq and is a predicted model, not a curated record. Lineage: Eukaryota; Metazoa; Chordata; Mammalia; Rodentia; Bathyergidae.
AGCCGUCGUCGCGCGUCGCGCCGCGCACACGGAAGCGUCGGGCGGCCUCGGGAGCGCGCCGCGGGUGUGGACCGGGCCUCUGCGGGCAGGAGGCCGGCUCGCUGGACUUCUCCGGGGCGCGGCGGGUCUCUAAACCUCGGACACUGUGAUGGGCAGCGGCCAGGAGAGGUGCCCAUGGCGUCGGAGCGGCGCAAGGCCGGGUACCGCUGGGGCAGCCCUUCGGAAGGGCGUCCCCGCAAGCGCAGCUGCCUCCGGGGCCCCGGUGAUGUGGCCCCCUCCAGCCGGCAGCCUCCUGGCUCUGCGUCGCGCUCCCGAGCGGCCCUCAGCCCUGCGCGCCUGAAAACCCGGGAGGACGAUGCGGCCUGCGCGUCCAGACUACCCCGGAGCUCCUCCUCGCGCCGCAGAAAUUCCUCCUCCCCCUCCUCCUCCUCCUCCUCCCCCUGCUCCUGUUCCUCCUGCUCCUCCUGCUCCUCCUGCUCCACGUCCUCCUCCCGCUCCUCCGGGGUAGGUGUGGGCGGGGCCGCCUCCCGAGGCUACCUGAGUCGGAGCGCUCGGAGGUGCCCUUCGUCCAAGGUAUCCCCUCUGCGCCGUCCCGCCGCCUCCUUGGAAGAAAUGGCUUCUCUCGAGGAGGACGCCUGCCUCCUUAAGGUUGAUUCCAAAGAUAGUUCCCGUAACUCCAUCAGCUCUGAGUUUGCAGCUAAAGCUGAGGGUCAGAAUGAUAUGAUGGAGGAGCCAGACAAGAUCCAGAAGAGGAAAAGGGAUAGGCUUCAAGACCAGGGCUCCACUGUCAUCUACCUGAAAGCUAUCCAGGGCAUCCUGGGAAAGUCGAUGCCCAGAAGGAAAGGAGAGGCUGCAGCCCCCAGGGUGAAGCCAAGUCCAAGAGACCAAGGACCAGCCCGGAGCGUCUGCCUCACUGCUCCCCAGAAGAAGAAAGAGCCAUCCCCACAGGUCAGGGUGGAAGAGGAAAGGCCUGUGUUAGACAAGGGCACCUUCUGUAUCAGGAGAGUGGUUAUAGACCCUCAGGAGAAACCCUGUGCCCAGCCACUUGGGGGCCAAAGGACAGUCAUUGACAAGCCCUCUCCACCUCUAGAGUUUGUGGAUGAUGCUGACUCGAGUCUAGAAAUCCAAAAGCAUAAAGACAGGGAGGUGGUGCUGGAGCACCUCUCUUCAGGAAGUGACUGGUCUGAUGUGGACGAAGUCUCUACAGUGAGAUUCUCUCAGGAGGAGCCCAUCUCGCUGAAAUACUCAGCAGUUCCAGAGCCUUCUUUCUUCCCCACUGACUAUGUCAUGUACCCUCCUCAUUUGUAUAGUAGUCCAUGGUGUGACUAUGCCAGCUACUGGACCAGCAGCCCCAAGACUCCAGGCUACCCCUCUGUGUGCAGCAGCAGCCAUGACACAGUGCAUGCUGGGAAGAGGAGCUGCAGCCUCCUGUGUGAUUAUUCCCCCAGCCCUACAGUGGGUGCCCAGAAUACCUCCAAAGACCUGAAGGCCGAAGAUAAAGGCAGAUCGAAGAAUUCUCGCUCGUUUUAUUUCUCCAAAAGCUCUGGAGGAGAAGAGGUGAAGGAGAAAAGAACAUUUCGAGAGGAGACACCACCUUGUUCUGGUGGAGGACACACAUCUACUUUCCUGCCAAGGAGCCACCAGGAUCCAGGCCUGGAGGAGGGCUUCAUUGAUACCCAUUGUCACUUGGACAUGCUCUACUCCAAGCUGUCUUUCAAAGGGACCUUCACAAAGUUCAGGAAAAUGUAUAGCAGCUCUUUCCCUAAGGAGUUUCAGGGCUGCAUCUCAGACUUCUGUGAUCCUCGGACACUGACAGAUUGCCUGUGGGAGGAGCUAUUGAAGGAGGAUCAGGUUUGGGGGGCCUUUGGCUGUCACCCUCAUUUUGCACGGUACUAUAGUGAGAAUCAAGAAAGAAAUCUUUUGCAAGCCUUAAGGCACCCCAAGGCUGUGGCAUUUGGGGAAAUGGGCCUGGAUUACUCUUACAAGUGCACCACACCUGUCCCAGAACAACACAAGCAUUUUCCCCUCUGCCGUACUGGGGAUGGACAAGCUGUGUACCUCUUGAGCUACACUCCCAGCUGUCAGCGCUCUUAUGUAUUUGAGAGACAGCUGCAGUUGGCUGUCUCUCUAAAGAAGCCCUUGGUCAUCCAUUGCCGAGAAGCUGACGAAGAUCUGCUUAACAUCAUGAAAAAAUUUGUGCCCUUCGACUACAAGAUCCAUAGGCACUGCUUCACCGGCAGCUACCCAGUCAUCGAGCCUCUGUUAAAGUACUUCCCCAACAUGUCUGUGGGCUUCACCGCAGUGCUGACAUACUCUUCUGCCUGGGAGGCCCGGGACGCUCUGAAACAGAUCCCCCUGGAGAGAAUCAUUGUGGAGACUGAUGCUCCCUACUUCCUCCCUCGCCAGGCAGUGCAAAGCCCUACCCUGUAGAGGGCAGUCCACAGAAGCGAGGGACCCUGCUCACCCAGAGCCCCCUGCUAGAACUCUCCCUGCACCUGCAGGUUCCCAAAAGCCUUUGCCAGUAUGCCCACCCUGGCCUGGCCUUGCACACAGUUCGAGAGAUUGCCAGGGUCAAAGAGGAGCCGCUGUCCCGAACCUUGGCUGCUUUGCGUGAGAACACCAGUCGCCUCUACAGUCUGUAAGCCAGAGGACGCAAGCAGGAGCCUUGGAAAAGGUCAUGCCAUUCACAUGAUCUGCUUGUUAGACAUCAGGCCAAGCAGGUCUUUGGCUACAUCUUCUUAAUGUACAGAAUAUAGACAGGAUGAGCAUGAAGCCUGAUUUGUGUUGGGUGAACUUGGCUUGGAACCUUCUUCCUUUUCUCUUUCAAAUCUCCAGGGUGACCAGCAGCCUGACAGAACAUGGGCUGGGUCCGAACUUUGCCUGCGUCCCAGGUCAAGGAUGUGACUGCAGAGCCUGUUGGAACAGAAAACCAAGAUUGGACAUUGUCCUCAGAACUCCAUGCUAAGGCUUCAGCUCCUGGCUGGUGGGUGGGUGGGGCAUGAGUGGGGGUAAGGGGCUGCCCAGUAUGGCUGCUGGGUUCUGCCUCUUGGUCAGAAUGUUCCAGGGCAGUCCCUGGAUGAAUGCAAUGUAAGGGUAUGAGUCUGUCAGUCCAAGUCCCUGUUCUUUGCAGCCUGUGUAUUUGAGCAGUCUGUGAAUAAAGUCACCCUCCUCCUCAUCUGAGCACUGUGGCUGUAUAACUUAGUCCCUGCUUCUCGGUUAUAGAAACAAACCCUGGAGAAACCAACCCCUCCUUCCCCAGUACCCUCCCAUGUGCUGUCGCUGUCCCAGUGCCAGCACAAGCAGAAGGACACAGCCUCUGGUCUCCUUGGCCCACUGCUGUCAGAGUGGAGGUGUGCAGAGGAGGUACUCCCUGCUUACUGAGGCCACCAGGGUUUUUCUGAGGUGUUAAAUGGAUAAGGGUUCAGUCUAUAGCAGAAGCUACUUGCUGAGGUGUCAGGCAUCCUAGCCUCCCUUUACUCCAUUUUCAUCAUGUUCUUCUGGGAUAUUGGACCAAAAAUAAUCCCUCAGAUUAAUCCUUUGUGACUGACCCUAGUGUGCCCCACCCAGGUUGACAGGAGAAAAAACUUAAUUCUCCACGGCUCCCUGUGGGGCACCCAGCUGUUAUUUUGCCUUUGCAAAACAAGCAGUCCUGGUCCUCUCCAGGUGUCUCCCUUGCCUUGGCCUCUGUGGUUCCUCUUUAGAGGUCAGAGCCCGCCCUCUGCCUUGAGCAGCCAUAUCAUUUCAAGGUCGGAGCUCUUCUGUCUCCCUGCUGUGCCUUGUAACAGUGGACUUACUGCAGGCCAUAGAGGUCAAGGAGUAAGUGCAAGGAGACUCCUGCACUUUGCUGAAAAUGAUUCUCAUCCUGAUCUGCCCCUGGAGUCCCUUAUCUUGUUUCUUAGAGGCUUAUGUUAUAAAAUCUAUCACUGAUUGGGGAUUUCUAGCUGUGUAUGAAAGGGACAUUUGAACCUUGUGAGGCAAAGUGGAAUGGAUAUAAUAUUUCUUAUCUGAAGUGGCCUGAGAAGGCCUAGAUCACUCUCCAUCUCCCAUGGGUCACCUGUUGUCUGUGCCUCAAAUUUGCCAGUGUGAGGAAAUUGAGAACUUGAUCUGCUUGAAAGAUGUGGGGUUGCUGAGUAUAUCUGAUGCCUCAUCAUCACCCACAUGAACGAGAGCCUGGCCAUCUCCUCUACAAUAAGCCCCUGAGCCAACGCUGCCUGUGUGUGAGACCAGCUUGCUCUGUGCUGAGGGAUUAUAAGUGAAUCUCCUACCCUCUGCAUUCCCCUGACAAGGAGCAGCAUGAGGUAAUGUCAGUCUACCUUUUUCUCUCAAGAUUCAGGGCCACCAUGUGCAUGCUGUUAACCCAGUGAGACCUCACCUGGCUAGGUGUGAGAAUUGGGUGGCCUUGUUUUUUACUGUGAUUUAAGGGUGGCUUUACUUGAUUGUUUUCGCUGUGCAGCCAGAAUGCUUUCUACGUGCCCGUCUUUGGCCAUCUCUGAGAAUAAAGUGUUGGGUCCUCUGGCUA